ACACAUGCAAGUCGAGGGGCAGCAUCAUCAAAGCUUGCUUUGAUGGAUGGCGACCGGCGCACGGGUGAGUAACACGUAUCCAACCUGCCGACAACACUGGGAUAGCCUUUCGAAAGAAAGAUUAAUACCGGAUGGUAUAGUUUUCCCGCAUGGGAUGAUUAUUAAAGAAUUUCGGUUGUCGAUGGGGAUGCGUUCCAUUAGGCAGUUGGCGGGGUAACGGCCCACCAAACCUACGAUGGAUAGGGGUUCUGAGAGGAAGGUCCCCCACAUUGGAACUGAGACACGGUCCAAACCCCUACGGGAGGCAGCAGUGAGGAAUAUUGGUCAAUGGACGAGAGUCUGAACCAGCCAAGUAGCGUGAAGGAUGACUGCCCUAUGGGUUGUAAACUUCUUUUAUACGGGAAUAAAGUGAGCCACGUGUGGCUUUUUGUAUGUACCGUAUGAAUAAGGAUCGGCUAACUCCGUGCCAGCAGCCGCGGUAAUACGGAGGAUCCGAGCGUUAUCCGGAUUUAUUGGGUUUAAAGGGAGCGUAGGCGGGUUGUUAAGUCAGUUGUGAAAGUUUGCGGCUCAACCGUAAAAUUGCAGUUGAUACUGGCGACCUUGAGUGCAACAGAGGUAGGCGGAAUUCGUGGUGUAGCGGUGAAAUGCUUAGAUAUCACGAAGAACUCCGAUUGCGAAGGCAGCUUACUGGAUUGUAACUGACGCUGAUGCUCGAAAGUGUGGGUAUCAAACAGGAUUAGAUACCCUGGUAGUCCACACAGUAAACGAUGAAUACUCGCUGUUGGCGAUAUACAGUCAGCGGCCAAGCGAAAGCAUUAAGUAUUCCACCUGGGGAGUACGCCGGCA
Molecule: ribosomal RNA, 846 nt
Filed under: uncultured bacterium
Lineage: Bacteria
Description: bacterial SSU rRNA
Rfam family: Bacterial small subunit ribosomal RNA
Source: RNAcentral